This 2240-nucleotide long non-coding RNA is filed under the name Papio anubis (olive baboon). RNAcentral's name for it is "lncRNA (ENSPANG00000043543.1)". The record is from RNAcentral. Lineage: Eukaryota; Metazoa; Chordata; Mammalia; Primates; Cercopithecidae.
GUCUAUUUUUAUUGAUAUGGAAACACAGUCUAGAUAUCUUGCUAAGUGAAAACAGCAGGUUACAAAAUGGAGCACCAAUUACCUUCACAUGUGAUGGGAUUCACUUACCCGGGGAAGAGUGGAGAGCGGAGGAAUCUACCCUGGUGCUCCAGUAACAAACCCUAGCAGGGACAGCGGAAGCUGAACCUCCACUGCGAGUAGAUCUCACUAGCAUCAGCUGCUCCCAGCAUAAAAACAGCACAAUUUUCUUCCCAAGGCAUCUCUCUGAUCAUUAGUGAUAGCUCCACGGGACUGAGUGUACAUGAUUCUAACCAGUAAAGGAGAACUUGGGAAGUGUUGCUGUCUGAUACCAUCAACUGCAGAGGAAGAAGUUCUGCUUUGGGAAUGUUAGAAACCUCUCCUGUUAACAGGGUGGCUUCCACACGUAUCUGCAGCUAGAGUAUUUGGAGCGAGCUAAUGCUUUGGCCCGACAGAAAGAGGUUUCCUCCGUGCUGCCUGCUGGGCUGCGGAGGCUGUCAUAUGGGGGUCCCGUGCUGCGCAUUCUCUCUAUGCCUGACGACACCUUAAUCAUGAUCAGAGAAGAUGGAGCUAUUUAUUUCUGGUCCCUGCAGCUGAAGUUGAAAAGAAGAAAGCGGGUCUUUGUAUGUGAUUUUCAUUUGAUAAGGAUGCUGAGUGCUACAGUUUGAUUUUAUUUGCUAUUUUAAACUGCUUCUUAAGUGGUGUGAUUACAUAAAUUGUGUCCUUGAAUAUAAUAUAUUCAUGCUGGAUUUUGCUAGUCUGUAGAAUGCAAAUAAUAUAUGAUCUCUCUAUGUAGUGCAAGAUAAAGCUUCAUUUUGCUUCUAAAAUCAGAUGGAAUGAUGAAUUACAUGUGAUUCCAUCAUGUGAUUUAUUGUAUGUCUUAAUGAAUGACAAAUAGAAAAGAAUCUUCCCUUCCUCCCCCCAUUAACGGUUAUAUCAGUUUAGGUAGCUAUGUUAGGGCUUCUCUUCAGAGAACUUACUGAAUGACAGAAUCAAAAAUUCAAAAGACAAAAAGCACAGGGGACAUAUGCUUAGGAAUGACAAUGCCUGACCCAUUCCAGGAUAUGUUCUAUUUUUAAAGCCAUUCUUUUAUUAUCUUAACAAAUAUUUGAGCCUCUGUCAUAGACCAGGCAGUGUGCUGGCUGCUGGGAAUACAGAAACCCAGUCUCUGCCCUCAGGAAAUGUAUAAUCUAUCCCAGAUAUUAUAGCUGCCCCAAAGCCCUUGGGAUACAGAAUAUGCCCUCGCUAGAGAGAGAGAGAAUAAAGUUGACUCUCCAAAUCUAUGAAACAAUUUUUUUCCACUUGAAGGAGAAAAUAAAGAAAAUUAUAUUCUGUUAAACAGGCAUCCUACAGGCAAGAAUGGCUUGAGACAACUGAAAAUGUCUGAUCAUUAAAAAGGCAUAUGCUCGUUCAUUUCCACCCUUCAACCCUUUAGGACAAGGCCAGCAGCCAGAACCCCAGGUGGAUGACAGACGUCAUCAGCAUGCUAUACUGCAAUAAACUGAUCACUGGGACCAGAUGAGUGACGCUGCUCUUCAACCCAGAAAUGAACAAUUGGCCAAGAGUGGUGGCUCACGCCUGUAAUCCCAGCACUUUGGGAAGCCGAGGUAGGCAAAUCGUUUGAGCUCAGGAGUUUGAGACCAGCCUGGGCAACAUAGUGAAACCCCGUACCUACCAAAAAUACAAAAAAAUUACGCAACGUGGUGGUGCACACCUGUGGUCCCAGCUACCUGGAGGUUGGGGGCUGAGGCAGGAGAAUUGCUUGAACCCAGGAGGCAGAGGUUGCAGUGAGGCGAGACUGCGCCACUGCACUCCAGCCUGGGCGACACAGUGAGACUCCUCAAAUAAAAAGUAAAAUAAAGAGAAGUGAACAAUCACUGUGUUAUGGAAUCCAUUUUCAUGUAUGAAUUCACAUAAACAGAUACAUGUUUGUGGUAUGAAGAUAAAGUUAGGAGACCCUUUUCAGAAAACACUAAAACUCAUGUGUCAGUCGAAGCUACCAUGCCAGGUUAUCACUUUGGCCUAGUGCAGUGAUGUUGCCAUUGCCCCCAACACAGACCGAGGUUUUCUUUUGGGGAAUACUUCUGGGGCCAAGGUAUGGGCCAGAUUAGAAAAACAUUAGCCUUGGUACUUUUUAAUACACCUUAUUUUACAUUCAACAUAGUUUUCCUGUUUUAUUAGCCACAAAAUUUUGUCUGUAGUGCUCUGAACUGAUCCAAAAC